UGGGGAAUAUUGGACAAUGGGCGAAAGCCUGAUCCAGCAAUACCGCGUGAGUGAUGAAGGUCUUCGGAUUGUAAAGCUCUUUUAGUAGGGAAGAUAAUGACGGUACCUACAGAAAAAGCACCGGCAAACUUCGUGCCAGCAGCCGCGGUAAUACGAAGGGUGCUAGCGUUGUUCGGAAUUACUGGGCGUAAAGCGUACGUAGGCGGCUUAGUAAGUCGAUUGUGAAAUCCCCAAGCUCAACUUGGGAAUUGCAACCGAAACUGCUUUGCUUGAGUUUGGUGGGGGAUGGUGGAAUUCUUAGUGUAGGGGUGAAAUCCGUAGAUAUUAAGAGGAAUACCGGUGGCGAAGGCGACCAUCUACGCCAAUACUGACGCUAAGGUACGAAAGCGUGGGGAGCAAACAGG
Molecule: ribosomal RNA, 404 nt
Filed under: uncultured bacterium
Lineage: Bacteria
Description: bacterial SSU rRNA
Rfam family: Bacterial small subunit ribosomal RNA
Source: RNAcentral